UGGGGAAUAUUGGACAAUGGGGGAAACCCUGAUCCAGCCAUGCCGCGUGUGUGAAGAAGGCCUUAUGGUUGUAAAGCACUUUAAGCGAGGAGGAGGGUACUGGUAUUAAUACUACCAGGUACUGGACGUUACUCGCAGAAUAAGCACCGGCUAACUCUGUGCCAGCAGCCGCGGUAAUACAGAGGGUGCGAGCGUUAAUCGGAUUUACUGGGCGUAAAGCGUGCGUAGGCGGCUAAUUGAGUCGGAUGUGAAAUCCCCGAGCUUAACUUGGGAAUUGCAUUCGAUACUGGUUAGCUAGAGUGUGGGAGAGGAUGGUAGAAUUCCAGGUGUAGCGGUGAAAUGCGUAGAGAUCUGGAGGAAUACCGAUGGCGAAGGCAGCCAUCUGGCCUAACACUGACGCUGAGGUACGAAAGCAUGGGGAGCAAACAGG
Molecule: ribosomal RNA, 430 nt
Filed under: Pseudomonadota bacterium
Lineage: Bacteria; Pseudomonadati; Pseudomonadota
Description: Proteobacteria bacterium partial 16S ribosomal RNA
Rfam family: Bacterial small subunit ribosomal RNA
Source: RNAcentral